AUGCCGGCGUGCCGCGGCUCCCCUCUGCUUCUCCAUUUCCUCGUCUCCUUCCUCCCCAUAAGGCCAAACCCCUGGGUCGCAGCGAGCUCGUUGGCGACCAUCCACGAACCACUCAUGUGCGGCGUGCUGUGGACCGCCUUCCAGGCGCCCGCGUACGUCCAUGAGCAGCACCGCCGCCGUCUUCCUCUUUUGCCGUCAGCGACCACGCCGCCCGUCUUCUUCUUUGUGUACGCUGUCGGCGACCACCCAGCUCCAGCAGAGCGCCGCAUCCGUCUUCCUGGCCUCUCGUCUGCAGGCCUGCGACCACCCAGCUUCAUCAGAUCAGACUCGGAGGUCAGAGCGUAG
This 345-nucleotide ribosomal RNA is filed under the name Triticum aestivum (bread wheat). RNAcentral describes it as "partial small subunit ribosomal RNA". The record is from RNAcentral. Lineage: Eukaryota; Viridiplantae; Streptophyta; Magnoliopsida; Poales; Poaceae.